RNAcentral lists this ribosomal RNA (539 nucleotides) under uncultured bacterium. Its description in RNAcentral is "bacterial SSU rRNA". It matches the Rfam family "Bacterial small subunit ribosomal RNA", at positions 777 to 1321 of the family's 1533-position model. The record is from RNAcentral.
AAUAGAUACCCGGGUAGUCCACGCCCUAAACGAUGUCUACUAGUUGUCGGGUCUUAAUUGACUUGGUAACGCAGCUAACGCGUGAAGUAGACCGCCUGGGGAGUACGGUCGCAAGAUUAAAACUCAAAGGAAUUGACGGGGACCCGCACAAGCGGUGGAUGAUGUGGAUUAAUUCGAUGCAACGCGAAAAACCUUACCUACCCUUGACAUGUCAGGAACCUCCGAGAGAUCGGAGGGUGCCCGAAAGGGAGCCUGAACACAGGUGCUGCAUGGCUGUCGUCAGCUCGUGUCGUGAGAUGUUGGGUUAAGUCCCGCAACGAGCGCAACCCUUGUCAUUAGUUGCUACGAAAGGGCACUCUAAUGAGACUGCCGGUGACAAACCGGAGGAAGGUGGGGAUGACGUCAAGUCCUCAUGGCCCUUAUGGGUAGGGCUUCACACGUCAUACAAUGGUACAUACAGAGGGCCGCCAACCCGCGAGGGGGAGCUAAUCCCAGAAAGUGUAUCGUAGUCCGGAUCGCAGUCUGCAACUCGACUGCGU